UUGCUGUAUAAAUCAUUUCCAUGCAGUCUCAAUUUCAUGCCAUCUAUGAGUUAAAUGUAUGGUUUUUGUUUGUGACACAACUAUCCGAGGUCUGUCACUCACACAGCCUCCAUAAAAUGGUUUCAUUUUUACAGCACAGCGUGUAAAACACUGUUUUUAUACAUAUAUAUAUAUAUAUAUAUAUAUAUAUAUUAAUUGUGGUAGCCAAUUAAUAUAUACAUAUAUAUAUAUUCUCUGUUCCGCAUAGUAGCUGUUGACAUUAUAGUUGCACAGGAACUUUGCUGACUCUAGAGAAUCUCGGGCAAAUCGCACAUCCCCGUGGUGACAACUUUGCAUGCGGAUGUCAUCCAUAUCAACUUUCAAUGCCAGUUUCUGCGCCUACCAUGGUGACCACGGGUAACGGGGAAUCAGGGUUCCAUUCCGUACAGGGACCCUGAGAAAUGGCUAACACAUACAAGGAAGGCAGCAGGCAUGCAAAUGAACCACUCCCGAUGCGGGAAGGUAGUGACAAAAAAUAACAAUACAGGACUCUUUAGAGGUCCUGUAAUUGAAAUGAGUCCACUUGAAAUCCUUUAACUCUGAUCAAUUGGAGGGAAGUCUGGUGCAGAGCCACUGACCCAUGUGUGCUGCAGCUGAAACUCCAUUA
Molecule: non-coding RNA, 646 nt
Organism: Pelobates cultripes (western spadefoot toad)
Lineage: Eukaryota; Metazoa; Chordata; Amphibia; Anura; Pelobatidae
Source: the annotation of a GenBank genome assembly